Molecule: long non-coding RNA, 665 nt
Filed under: Olea europaea (common olive)
Lineage: Eukaryota; Viridiplantae; Streptophyta; Magnoliopsida; Lamiales; Oleaceae
Description: long non-coding RNA (OEUR_LNC014176)
Source: RNAcentral
AAAGUGAUUAUUAAAUAAAGAAAAAUAGAAAAUUAAAUAGGUUAAAUGUUGAAAUGUUAAAACUUAAUUUUAAGUUACAACAAUCCCACACAAAUUUUCAACUUUCAAAAUUAUAAAAAAUGUAUGAUAGCGGCAAUAUAAUAUUGUGUGAUAGGUGUAGGUAUCUCUUAGAUUUGAACCUCACUUAGAAAUAACAAUUUCCAUUUGAGGAAGUCAUAAUGGACUAAAUCUUGAAUUAGGUCCCUUUAACCAAAAUUCAAUUGUUCCACACAGUAUCGAUUUAGGCUCAACUCAUAGCGGGUAGCGCUGUUAAUGACCAUGCGCUCUGAUCUUGAGUCUAAUAAGAGUCUCUAGAGAGUAGUCCAAUCCCAUAGCCACGGCCUUGUGACAACUCUUACAUAAGUGAGUCCUCCAAAGGUAUGUGCCUCACAUCUGACGAGAAUUCUCGCCUCGGUACUUAUUCAGGGUUAAACUUUUCCAAUUAUCACAUUAUUAUUAACACUAUAUCACCAUAGGGAUGAGCGCAAAUAAAAUAGUGAUAUUACAAGUCACGUAGUAUGGGUUGUUUCUACCAAAUUGAUCAUUUUUCAUGGGAUCUCCAAUCACAAAGGUUGGAUUACUCCUGGAGGUGACUCCCUUAUGGGCUUAACUUAUGCCCCAUAUAU